UACGUAGGGUGCAAGCGUUAAUCGGAAUUACUGGGCGUAAAGGGUUCGUAGGUGGUGCGGCAAGUUGGGAGUGAAAUCUCUGGGCUUAGCUCAGAGGCUGCUUUCAAAACUGCCGCGCUCGAGUGCGAGAGAGGUCAGUGGAAUUGCAGGUGUAGCGGUGAAAUGCGUAGAUAUCUGCAGGAACACCCGUGGCGAAGGCGGCUGACUGGAUCGCAACUGACACUGAGGAACGAAAGCUAGGGGAGCAAACAGG
This 253-nucleotide ribosomal RNA is filed under the name uncultured bacterium. RNAcentral describes it as "partial 16S ribosomal RNA". It matches the Rfam family "Bacterial small subunit ribosomal RNA", at positions 524 to 776 of the family's 1533-position model. The record is from RNAcentral.